Molecule: long non-coding RNA, 1235 nt
Filed under: Rhinopithecus bieti (black snub-nosed monkey)
Lineage: Eukaryota; Metazoa; Chordata; Mammalia; Primates; Cercopithecidae
Description: lncRNA (ENSRBIG00000045533.1)
Source: RNAcentral
AGGAGAGUGAUGUGAUCGCAAUGGAGUUUCACAAUAUUACCCAAUGCCAAGUAUAACAAACAGGUUAAAGUGAGGGAAAAGACAAACAGUCAAGAAAAAUAUCAUGAGGACAAGAAAAGGCUAAUGGAUUUGGAAAAUCAGGCGCAGUGAUGAUCUUGCCAUGGCACUACCAGAGUGACAUGAAUGGAAACCAGGUCACAAAGGAAGGAGGAAUGGGUAGGUCAUGCCAAGGUGAAGAGCCUUCACAAUUCCAGGGAGACGCUGCCGAGUGGAGGGAAGGUUAGUAGGUUAUGGAACAGGUUCAAGGAAAGGUGUAUUUUCCUUCCCAACAGGUUAAAGACAGAAAGAAACAUGACAGUAGAGAAAAGAAAUAAAGGCGAUUAAAAAAAAAAAAAAAGCUGAGUGAUGGGGAGAGUGGUUAAGCAAGACGACCCUACCAAACAAUAGAUGGGUCAUUGAUACGUUGCAGAAGAAUAGCGUGUGGAGGAAAUAUUUGGUUUCAGUAGUUUAGCCCUAAGGAGUGAGGAAUUUGUUUGGUCAGACAUACUGAAGAUGAAGACUAUACUUCUGAGAAUAAGCCUAAAGCCUGUGAGUGUCAAAAGCCAAUCUGCUGAGCUUCACUGAACCCCAGAAGCCCAUGUGCCCCUUUUCACCAUUUCCCACAUUGAAACAACCACCAAGAAAAGGCAUUUAGUUGAUGGUAGCAGAAAAAUAAUACAGAAUUGGGACCACAGAGGAGCCAUAAGCUGGCUGCCCCUUCUGUCUCCGGAGAUGGGGAGGUAGAGUUUUCCAGGGAAGAACAGCUCCUGGUGCACAGGUGUUUGGGGGCCCUGGAGUGGCUUUCUUUGAAGCUGGUGUCCACUCACUCCCUCCAGAGCUUUGGCCAGCUGGCCCCAGAAAUCUUCCAGUGGCCCAUCAGAGAGCAAGCUGGCAGAGCUGUCACUCCCGCCAUGGAAUUCAGCCAAUCCGCUGAGGACCUCCCUCCUCACCCAGCUCAGCCCUGCCUGCUGCCCGAGUCCACUCCCAUCUGUGGAGCCUCCACUCAGGAGCCCAUGAAUCAGCUUCCACCCAAGCUCCACUCUGCAGCUCCAUGCAGCUCAAACUACCUGCUCAUGAACAACAACCUGAAGAUGUUUCUCCUGUCUCAGACUCGGCCAUCAAUGCCCAUUCUCCUCUGUCUGGUCUCACUUCUUGAGAUGUGUCUGCCACAGGAACUUGCUGGACCACAAGUAUGA